Long non-coding RNA from Grammomys surdaster, 809 nucleotides. RefSeq lists it as uncharacterized. The transcript has 2 exons. Lineage: Eukaryota; Metazoa; Chordata; Mammalia; Rodentia; Muridae. The record is from RefSeq and is a predicted model, not a curated record.
UGAUCUUUAUUUUAAAUUACUAAAUGUAUUCCUUAGACUAUGCUAAUUAUGUAACCAUGUAAGUAGAAGCCAAGUCAUUUUUAAAUCUCAACCUUACUUCAGGUAACCAGCAAAGGGAUAAAUAUUCUAAGAAGGGAAUGGAGCCUGCUCUUCUGACCAGGUUAUAUUACAAAUCUUAUGAAGUCAGUAGGAUUUGCAUAAGUACUUCUUUCUUUCAGUGUUCCUGCUCCUUAGAGUAUUAUAAGAAGUUCUUUCUCAGAGGUAUAUCACGAUCCACACAAACUCAGGGAAAGAUCGAAGAUGGUGUUCAUAACUCAGUUCCUUGGACUUCUGCUAUUCUGGAUUUCAGCAUCCAGAGGUGACAUUUAAUGACUCAGUCUCCAGGCACCAUGUCUGUGACUUCAGGAGACAGUAUCAGUCUCUCCUGCAAGGCCAGCCAGAGUAUUAGCAACGACCUACACUGGUAUCAGCAAAAAUCACAUGGGUCUCCAAGACUUCUCAUCAAGUAUGCUUCGCAGACCAUCUCUGGGAUCCCCUCCAGGUUCAGUGGCAGUGGAUCAGGGACUGAUUUAACUCUCAGUAUCAACAGUGUAGACCCAGAAGAUUUUGUAAUGUAUUACUGUCAACAAAGUAACAGCUGGCCUCUCACAGUGAAACAGACCAUAGCAAAAACCACUAGGAAAGCAGAAGUGUGAGGUUGGGCUGCUUUAGCUGUUUCUGUUAGUUCUUCAGCUUUCUUCAAACUAUUUCUCAGAUGUAGCCAGGAAUGAAUUUACAGAAAUAUAUGGGAUGGAAAAGUCCCAAAGUUC